Molecule: ribosomal RNA, 270 nt
Filed under: uncultured bacterium
Lineage: Bacteria
Description: partial 16S ribosomal RNA
Rfam family: Bacterial small subunit ribosomal RNA
Source: RNAcentral
AAUCAACGCUGGCGGCGUGCCUCAGACAUGCAAGUCGAACGCGAAAGGCCCCUUCGGGGCUGAGUAGAGUGGCGUCCGGGUGAGUAACACGUGGGUAAUCUACCUUCGGGUGGGGAAGUAACAGUCGGAAACGACUGCUAAUACCGCAUAAUGCAGCGGCACCUAAUGGUGGACAGUUGUUAAAGCGGGGGAUCGCAAGACCUCGCGCCUGAAGAGGAGCCCGCGGCGGANAGUCUAGUUGGCAGGGUAACGGCCUACCAAGGCGACGAU